GACGAACGCUGGCGGCGUGCUUAACACAUGCAAGUCGAACGGAAAGGCCCUGCUUUUGUGGGGUGCUCGAGUGGCGAACGGGUGAGUAACACGUGAGUAACCUGCCCUUGACUUUGGGAUAACUUCAGGAAACUGGGGCUCAUACCGGAUAGGAGCUCCUGCUGCAUGGUGGGGGUUGGAAAGUUUCGGCGGUUGGGGAUGGACUCGCGGCUUAUCAGCUUGUUGGUGGGGUAGUGGCUUACCAAGGCUUUGACGGGUAGCCGGCCUGAGAGGGUGACCGGCCACAUUGGGACUGAGAUACGGCCCAGACUCCUACGGGAGGCAGCAGUGGGGAAUAUUGCACGAUGGGCGGAAGCCGGAUGCAGCAACGCCGCGUGCGGGAUGACGGCCUUCGGGUUGUAAACCGCUUUCGCCUGUGACGAAGCGUGAGUGACGGUAAUGGGUAAAGAAGCACCGGCUAACUACGUG
RNAcentral lists this ribosomal RNA (468 nucleotides) under uncultured bacterium. RNAcentral describes it as "partial 16S ribosomal RNA". It matches the Rfam family "Bacterial small subunit ribosomal RNA", at positions 28 to 507 of the family's 1533-position model. The record is from RNAcentral.